AGAGACAGCAGUCGCCGCGGUAAUACGUAGGGUGCAAGCGUUAAUCGGAAUUACUGGGCGUAAAGCGUGCGCAGGCGGUUAUAUAAGACAGAUGUGAAAUCCCCGGGCUCAACCUGGGAACUGCAUUUGUGACUGUAUAGCUAGAGUACGGCAGAGGGGGAUGGAAUUCCGCGUGUAGCAGUGAAAUGCGUAGAUAUGCGGAGGAACACCGAUGGCGAAGGCAAUCCCCUGGGCCUGUACUGACGCUCAUGCACGAAAGCGUGGGGAGCAAACAGGAUUAGAUACCCGUGUAGUCCCUGUCUCUUAUAC
Molecule: ribosomal RNA, 309 nt
Filed under: uncultured bacterium
Lineage: Bacteria
Description: partial 16S ribosomal RNA
Rfam family: Bacterial small subunit ribosomal RNA
Source: RNAcentral